CAGGGAUUGCCCUAGUAACGGCGAGUGAAGCGGCAACAGCUCAAAUUUGAAAGCUGGCCUUCGGGUCCGCAUUGUAAUUUGUAGAGGAUGCUUUGGGUGAAACGCCAGUCUAAGUUCCUUGGAACAGGACGUCAUAGAGGGUGAGAAUCCCGUAUGUGACUGGAAAUGUUAACCUAUGUAAAGCUCCUUCGACGAGUCGAGUUGUUUGGGAAUGCAGCUCUAAAUGGGAGGUAAAUUUCUUCUAAAGCUAAAUAUUGGCGAGAGACCGAUAGCGCACAAGUAGAGUGAUCGAAAGAUGAAAAGCACUUUGGAAAGAGAGUUAAAAAGCACGUGAAAUUGUUGAAAGGGAAGCGCUUGCAAUCAGACUUGUUUAAACUGUUCGGCCGGUCUUCUGACCGGUUUACUCAGUUUGGACAGGCCAGCAUCAGUUUCGGCGGCCGGAUAAAGGCUCUGGGAAUGUGGCCUUCACUUCGGUGAAGGUGUUAUAGCCCAGGGUGUAAUACGGCCAGCCGGGACUGAGGUCCGCGCUUCGGCUAGGAUGCUGGCGUAAUGGUUGUAAGCGAC
RNAcentral lists this ribosomal RNA (564 nucleotides) under Aureobasidium pullulans. RNAcentral describes it as "eukaryotic LSU rRNA". It matches the Rfam family "Eukaryotic large subunit ribosomal RNA", at positions 69 to 648 of the family's 3401-position model. Lineage: Eukaryota; Fungi; Ascomycota; Dothideomycetes; Dothideales; Saccotheciaceae. The record is from RNAcentral.